AGUGAACGCUGGCGGUAGGCCUAACACAUGCAAGUCGAACGGCAGCACAGUAAGAGCUUGCUCUUACGGGUGGCGAGAGGCGGACGGGUGAGGAAUACAUCGGAAUCUACUUUUUCGUGGGGGAUAACGAAGGGAAACUUACGCUAAUACCGCAUACGACCUACGGGUGAAAGCAGGGGAGCUUCGGACCUUGCGCGAUUGAAUGAGCCGAUGUCGGAUUAGCUAGUUGGCGGGGUAAAGGCCCACCAAGUCGACGAUCCGUAGCUGGUCUGAGAGGAUGAUCAGCCACACUGGAACUUAUACACGGUCCAUGCUCCUACGGGACGCAGCAGUGUGCAAUAUUGGACAAUGGUCGCAAGCCUUAUCCAGCCAUACCGCGUGUGUUAAAGAGGCCUUCGGGUUGUAAAGCCCUUUUUUUGGUAAAGAAAAGCAGCAGGUUAAUACCCCGCUGUUCUGACGGUACCCAGAGAAUAAGCACCGGCUAACUUCGUG
Molecule: ribosomal RNA, 492 nt
Filed under: uncultured bacterium
Lineage: Bacteria
Description: partial 16S ribosomal RNA
Rfam family: Bacterial small subunit ribosomal RNA
Source: RNAcentral